This is a long non-coding RNA of Poecilia latipinna (sailfin molly), 492 nucleotides long. RefSeq lists it as uncharacterized. The record is from RefSeq and is a predicted model, not a curated record. The transcript has 5 exons. Lineage: Eukaryota; Metazoa; Chordata; Actinopteri; Cyprinodontiformes; Poeciliidae.
CAGUCCAGAAGCAGCUGCUGUGAUGUUCAACACUUAACCAGCUCUGAAGCUGCAUGAGUGAAAGAGGCGGCAGGAUCUGAAGAUAAUAAUGAAGAAACGGCAGCUCUGCUCCAUCAGUCAGUGUAACUUUCAGUGUUGACUGCAGAUUCAGAGCUUUGAGGAAAAAUAUCUGAGUUAACACGAUGAUGUCAAACUUACUGUGCUUCCUUGCACAGGUUAGGAUAUUUGAGAAGCAGAAGAAGAGCUUCUGGAACAACCAACAGGAAGGCAGCAACUGGAUGCUGCUCCUCUGAGACGGGAGCAUCAGGGCUGCAAUCUAAACAUACUGUGCUGCAGGAUGAAAAGCGGCAGAGAGGAGGAAGUCGGAGGAGCUGAAGGCUCUGACUUCUCCAGGCAAAUCUGCUGCAAAGACACGAGCAAAUUUAAUCACGAAGGAUCAUUCAUUGUUGCUUUUUAUGACUCUUUAAAUAAAAGAAAUUUUAAUGCUAUGAA